GCCAGGCAUGGUGGCACUUGCCUGUAAUCCCAGCAACUCUGGAGGCUGAGGCAAUAGGUUCACAAGUUUGAGGCCAGCCUGGGAAACUUAGUAAGACUCUGUCUCAA
RNAcentral lists this small RNA (107 nucleotides) under Marmota monax (woodchuck). The record is from RNAcentral. Lineage: Eukaryota; Metazoa; Chordata; Mammalia; Rodentia; Sciuridae.